AGGAUUAACGCUGGCGGCGUGCCUAACACAUGCAAGUCGAACGAGGUAGCAAUACCUAGUGGCAGACGGGUGAGUAGCGCGUGGUCAACCUACCGUUGAGUGGGGGAUAACUAGCCGAAAGGUUAGCUAAUACCGCAUACGUCUCCGAGGGGCAUCCCUUGGUGAUAAAAAGGAGCAAUCCGCUCGAUGACGGGACCGCGUCCCAUUAGCUAGUUGGUGGGGUAACGGCCUACCAAGGCAUCGAUGGGUAGCUGGUUUGAGAGAGCGACCAGCCACACUGGGACUGAGAUACGGCCCAGACUCCUACGGGAGGCAGCAGUGAGGAAUUUUCCGCAAUGGGCGAAAGCCUGACGGAGCGACGCCGCGUGUGGGAAGAAGGCCUUCGGGUCGUAAACCACUGUCGAAGGGGAAGAUAAUGACGGUACCCUUGGAGGAAGCCCGGCUAACUACGCGCCAGCAGCCGC
This 464-nucleotide ribosomal RNA is filed under the name uncultured bacterium. RNAcentral's name for it is "SSU rRNA". It matches the Rfam family "Bacterial small subunit ribosomal RNA", at positions 26 to 518 of the family's 1533-position model. The record is from RNAcentral.